RNAcentral lists this long non-coding RNA (1164 nucleotides) under Cyanistes caeruleus (blue tit). RNAcentral describes it as "lncRNA (ENSCCEG00000014583.1)". The record is from RNAcentral. Lineage: Eukaryota; Metazoa; Chordata; Aves; Passeriformes; Paridae.
UCUGGACCCAGCAGAAGACAGUGUGCUGUUGAUGGAAAAGGAUUACACCUGCUUUAAUACAUAAGGAACACACCUACUUCAACCUUCCCACCUAAAGCAAAGCAGUCUUUAGUUCCUGGUGUUUUCUUCAAUGUAAAUUCAAGAUACCUACAGAUUAGUCUUCCUACGUGCCGGUGCUGAGCAGUAAAGCACCUCAGCAGUCUCACUUUAGUGCCUGGUAAAAUUAUGGAGACUAAUCUGUGAGUUGUUGAAGAACACUUGGAAGACAAGGCAGACACUGGUCGCAGGCAGCACAGGUUUGUGAGGGAAAGUCCUACUCAACCAACUUAAUUUUUUUUUUUUAAUACAAGGUAGCCAGUCAUAAAAAUAAUCUUUGAUCAAAGGAAACCAGUUGAUACAAUCAUUUUGGAUUCCAGUAAAACCUUUGACAUUGUCUCUCACAGGAUCCUUCUGGACAAAAUGUCCAGCAAACAGCUGGAUAAAUACAUAUCUAUGAUUCCAUGACUCCCCAGCCAGUGUCAGGUUCCUGUGGGUUCCUGUCAGGAUCUGUGUUGCUCUGGAGAAAGGGCAUGAUGAAGAGAGGAGGGGUGGUGAGGCCUGUACCUCUCCCACUGAAAGCAGGCCAAAUAUGUGGAAAAUACAUCUAUGUUUCAGAAAGGAAGCAGUUGGGGAACUGACUGUGGCUGGGGAACUCAGCUCUCAGAAGGAAGUCCCAGUUGCUGGUGCUGAGACUAUUUUUGUCUUUUAACAGACAACUGUAAUGGAUCAAAUGGAAAAGCAGCCCUGACAGCUGGGUCUGAAACAUGCCUGCUGCACAUGCACCCUGCCAAAGGUCAUGCUCAAGGCCAGACCUGUGCUGGCACAGUUAGAAGCCUGUGGUGAUAGGAACUCAAGAGCAAGUGGUGUUUUGUGAAAACGUUUGUGCAGUUAGCCUACAUGCAGUCACAGUAAACUGAGAAGAGACUUCAUGUGAUGGAUAAAGCAAAUAAAAGACCAAAGAGCAGAAUAAGUAUCCUGCAAUCCAGAUCUCCCACUGCAAAUGAUUCAUUUCCCCUCUUGGCCUGGCUGUGUGCGCACGUGUCUGGUGGUGGUGAGCCAGAGCUGACCAGUGCCCUGGGACAAAGAAAGGAAAAGAAGGAAGGAGACAAAGCUGCAAACUUUUGA